GAUGAACGCUGGCGGCGUGCCUAAUACAUGCAAGUCGAGCGAACAGACGAGGAGCUUGCUCCUCUGACGUUAGCGGCGGACGGGUGAGUAACACGUGGAUAACCUCCCUAUAAGACUGGGAUAACUUCGGGAAACCGGAGCUAAUACCGGAUAAUAUAUUGAACCGCAUGGUUCAAUAGUGAAAUACGGUUUUGCUGUCACUUCUAGAUGGAUCCGCGCCGCAUUGGCUAGUUGGUAAGGUAACGGCUUACCAAGGGAACGAUGCGUAGCCGACCUGAGAGGGUGAUCGGCCACACUGGAACUGAGACACGGUCCAGACUCCUACGGGAGGCAGCAGUAGGGAAUCUUCCGCAAUGGGCGAAAGCUUGACGGAGCAACGCCGCGUGAGUGAUGAAGGUCUUCGGAUCGUAAAACUCUGUUAUUAGGGAAGAACAAAUGUGUAAGUAACUAUGCACGUCUUGACGGUACCUAAUCAGAAAGCCACGGCUAACUACGUG
Molecule: ribosomal RNA, 497 nt
Filed under: uncultured bacterium
Lineage: Bacteria
Description: partial 16S ribosomal RNA
Rfam family: Bacterial small subunit ribosomal RNA
Source: RNAcentral